GCUGGCGGCAGGCCUAACACAUGCAAGUCGAGCGGUAGAGAGAAGCUUGCUUCUCUUGAGAGCGGCGGACGGGUGAGUAAAGCCUAGGAAUCUGCCUGGUAGUGGGGGAUAACGUUCGGAAACGGACGCUAAUACCGCAUACGUCCUACGGGAGAAAGCAGGGGACCUUCGGGCCUUGCGCUAUCAGAUGAGCCUAGGUCGGAUUAGCUAGUUGGUGAGGUAAUGGCUCACCAAGGCGACGAUCCGUAACUGGUCUGAGAGGAUGAUCAGUCACACUGGAACUGAGACACGGUCCAGACUCCUACGGGAGGCAGCAGUGGGGAAUAUUGGACAAUGGGCGAAAGCCUGAUCCAGCCAUGCCGCGUGUGUGAAGAAGGUCUUCGGAUUGUAAAGCACUUUAAGUUGGGAGGAAGGGCAUUAACCUAAUACGUUAGUGUUUUGACGUUACCGACAGAAUAAGCACCGGCUAACUCUGUGCCAGCAGCCGCGGUAAUACAGAGGGUGCAAGCGUUAAUCGGAAUUACUGGGCGUAAAGCGCGCGUAGGUGGUUUGUUAAGUUGGAUGUGAAAUCCCCGGGCUCAACCUGGGAACUGCAUUCAAAACUGACUGACUAGAGUGUGGUAGAGGGUGGUGGAAUUUCCUGUGUAGCGGUGAAAUGCGUAGAUAUAGGAAGGAACACCAGUGGCGAAGGCGACCACCUGGACCAACACUGACACUGAGGUGCGAAAGCGUGGGGAGCAAACAGGAUUAGAUACCCUGGUAGUCCACGCCGUAAACGAUGUCAACUAGCCGUUGGGAGCCUUGAGCUUUUAGUGGCGCAGCUAACG
Molecule: ribosomal RNA, 827 nt
Filed under: uncultured bacterium
Lineage: Bacteria
Description: bacterial SSU rRNA
Rfam family: Bacterial small subunit ribosomal RNA
Source: RNAcentral